Molecule: ribosomal RNA, 64 nt
Filed under: Acremonium sclerotigenum
Lineage: Eukaryota; Fungi; Ascomycota; Sordariomycetes; Hypocreales; Bionectriaceae
Also listed under: 1 other name
Description: 5.8S ribosomal RNA
Rfam family: 5.8S ribosomal RNA
About the family: 5.8S ribosomal RNA (5.8S rRNA) is a component of the large subunit of the eukaryotic ribosome. It is transcribed by RNA polymerase I as part of the 45S precursor that also contains 18S and 28S rRNA. Functionally, it is thought that 5.8S rRNA may be involved in ribosome translocation.
Source: RNAcentral
AACUUUCAGCAACGGAUCUCUUGGUUCUGGCAUCGAUGAAGAACGCAGCAAAAUGCGAUAAGUA